This is a non-coding RNA of Oncorhynchus mykiss (rainbow trout), 993 nucleotides long. Lineage: Eukaryota; Metazoa; Chordata; Actinopteri; Salmoniformes; Salmonidae. The record is from RefSeq and is a predicted model, not a curated record.
CCUGUACCAUCUACUGCUGCCUUCUGGACACUGUUAUCACUUGGCUACAUAGCUGAUGCCUGCUGGACUGUCGAUUAAUCACGCUCUGGCCAUCUGAGGGAGCUCUUAAUCACCCCAGACAUCAGCAGUGCCACUGCAUUCCCACUGCAGUACUUGAUGGACUCCAGCAAAGAUAAUGGCAUCUGUUUUGUCACCAUACUGGUGAUAAGGUUUCUAUCGGAGAUCAGACCUUCAGCCCUAGAUGGACCAUCCCAACAGGCAGCAGAUCUGACAGAAACAUCUCAGCAACUCAUCAGACUAGUCCUGUCUGAGUUCUGUCUGCAUCCAGAUUCUCCAGGACACAGGCAUAUUCCCAGAACCUGAACAUCCAAAGGGUUCAGAGGUGUACAUAAAAAACUCAUGGAGGAGUUUGGCUCUUAUGAAACCCUGCAAGCAGCUAUUUCCUCCCAGGACCCUGCAUUUGACAGAGUCCUGGUAAAGUCCUUGACCCAGCAGCUGGUACAGGGAUGCAAGGAGGCGUCAAGACCAGCUUCUGCUGCAACAAACCCAUCAGACCAGGCUGAGACGGAGAGGGGGGCUGAGCAGAAAGCAUGAAGGAGCUUCCUUUGCUUUUCAAUGACCAAACUCAGGAUCAACUUCAAGUAUAGAAGGGAGUUAGCAUUUGUUUUUUGUUCCAGUUAGGUGCUGAUGUUAUUGAUGUGGCUAUGAUAGGACAUAUACAUUAAAUGUUUUAUUCAUCACUAAAUUGUUGCCUUGGAUUCAGAAGUGUUCCAUUUAUUUAUUCUCUGUACCAUUUUCUUUACCUUUCAUCUGUUAGCGUUCCAAGAGAGCAAACAAAAAGGACUGUCAUUCAGUCCAGGAACAGACUGAGAUUCCCUCUACUGAUGGACAUUGCAUAGAGCGUGAAAUGGGAGGAUCCCCCGGAUGACCAAAAUAAAGUCGUGGAGAACAUGAAGGAUGAAACAGAGACGCAUGAGACCAACAAGAACAGGA